Molecule: long non-coding RNA, 950 nt
Organism: Suricata suricatta (meerkat)
Lineage: Eukaryota; Metazoa; Chordata; Mammalia; Carnivora; Herpestidae
Exons: 5
Source: RefSeq, a predicted model, not a curated record
CCUUUGCAGCAGGGCCUGAGUCCUGCUCCCUUAUCACCCCGCCCGGUAUAACCGCGGGUGUCUCUUGGUCACCAUUGUAUCCCCUCCAGGGCAAUUCCCUUUUUGUCGGGGUCAAAUCAGAGCAAACCUCUGGGAGCUGCGUUCUUCGGAGGAGGGUGAAUUAUUAUGGGGGGUGUGUGUGUGUAUGUGUAUUUCACAGAUGAGGUUUGUGAAACCCUUCCCGUGCCCUGGGAGGCCAGCCUCUCCCCUGCUGUCCUGUUGAGGCCCCCACGCGGCUGUCUGCUCUUCCCGUGCCAGGCAGGAUGAAGCUGGGUGCCCUGCUCCCCUGGUGUGUAUCCACUCAGAAAGUACAUCUUUUCCCAGGCAAAUGGGGUCUACGAAAUUCCACAGACAUAGAGCGCGGACUUCGCACAGUUAAAAAACAAAUGCAUUCCAACAGACUACUUCCUCCUUGCAGCUCAUGCCGGUGCAGUUGGUUUCUUGUAUUAUCUGUGAUGUGUUGUAACAAAAAGCCUUCAUCUCUGAAAUGCCAAAGCUAAGUAAUGAAAAUAGAGAGAAGAGAAUCCGAUCAUGCCUGCCGGCCUUUGUCUUCAGCUCUUCUACUGUACAGUAGUACAUAAGGAGGCUUUUCAGCAGAGAAGCCUGAGGUGUUGAACCAGUGCCAUGGGGAAAUGAAUUCUUCAAUAGUUCUGUCGUCUUCCUUCUCAAAAUUAGAGCGUGGGGACUUGCAGAAAACCGGCCCAUCAGGGUGUCAGUGCCGCACAGAACAGCCGAGCCAGGUUCCGCACGCGCCCUGCGUGUCAUUAGCCACCACAUCAGCUGAGUUCUGACAGUAAGAGCUUUAUUCCUGACCGCGCUAUUACCAAGAAUGACUUCGCCCUUAAAGAAUUAUGUAGUUUGCCAAGCUGGUCUGUUUUAAAAUGCAUUUUCCCGGGGCGCCUGGGCGGCUC